UCGUAUUAGCGACCUGUUCGGAAUAGCUAGCUUCUAACGUUAGCGCUUUAAGUAAAGCCAUGUAGAGUUAAAUAAGACAGUGCCUUGUGUUUGUUCAACGGUCUCUGACACAACCCAAGCCAGGACGUCUGUUUUCACGACGACAACGAGGGACUGGGGUUGUUUGAGAAGUCCAACCGUGUGGAAAGGAAGAUGUUGCUGUUGCUAGCUUAGCUAGCUUUGCUUCGGACAACGAACUAACGAACGACCGUCCCGGUGCAUUGGAUGCAAGCUCACACGAGGAUAAAGGAACUGGAGGUGCUUGUGUUGACAUGACAUCAAUUAAGGUAAUUCGUCUCACCAAGUCCUCCCCUCGGAAAUGUCUGACUUGGUGUCAGUGACUGUCACACCAGGGAAGGGAAGGCUAGUGACCACAAGCUAACCUUGCUCCCAGAUGGAUCACAACAAAGCCACAGAAGAAACCUUGACCUGCCAGAGAUCCACGUAGUGAUCCACGUACUCCAGCCCCUGCCUCAUAGCUGUGGUUUGCCAUGCUUCCUUGAGGAUCCUCCCUGCCAACCACUGCCGGGUCUUAUUCCCCCUGGCAGCAAGGACUUCAUGACUUGCUUUGAGCCUGCUCUCUUCACAGGUGGCUCAGAGUGUACAUACAUACACACAUAUA
Long non-coding RNA from Sardina pilchardus (European sardine), 661 nucleotides. RefSeq lists it as uncharacterized. The record is from RefSeq and is a predicted model, not a curated record. The transcript is spliced from 3 exons. NCBI's taxonomy places the organism in Eukaryota, Metazoa, Chordata, Actinopteri, Clupeiformes, Clupeidae.